RNAcentral lists this ribosomal RNA (497 nucleotides) under uncultured bacterium. Its description in RNAcentral is "partial 16S ribosomal RNA". It matches the Rfam family "Bacterial small subunit ribosomal RNA", at positions 28 to 507 of the family's 1533-position model. The record is from RNAcentral.
GAUGAACGCUGGCGGCGUGCCUAAUACAUGCAAGUCGAGCGAACAGAUGAGGAGCUUGCUCCUCUGACGUUAGCGGCGGACGGGUGAGUAACACGUGGAUAACCUACCUAUAAGACUGGGAUAACUUCGGGAAACCGGAGCUAAUACCGGAUAAUAUAUUGAACCGCAUGGUUCAAUAGUGAAAGACGGUUUUGCUGUCACUUAUAGAUGGUUCCGCGCCGCAUUAGCUAGUUGGUAAGGUAACGGCUUACCAAGGCAACGAUGCGUAGCCGACCUGGGAGGGUGAUCGGCCACACUGGAACUGAAACACGGUCCAGACUCCUACGGGAGGCAGCAGUAGGGAAUCUUCCGCAAUGGGCGAAAGCCUGACGGAGCAACGCCGCGUGAGUGAUGAAGGUCUUCGGAUCGUAAAACUCUGUUAUUAGGGAAGAACAAAUGUGUAAGUAACUAUGCACGUCUUGACGGUACCUAAUGAGAAAGCCACGGCUAACUACGUG